GACGAACGCUGGCGGCGUGCUUAACACAUGCAAGUCGAACGGAAAGGCCCUGCUUUUGUGGGGUGCUCGAGUGGCGAACGGGUGAGUAACACGUGAGUAACCUGCCCUUGACUUUGGGAUAACUUCAGGAAACUGGGGCUAAUACCGGAUAGGAGCUCCUGCUGCAUGGUGGGGGUUGGAAAGUUUCGGCGGUUGGGGAUGGACUCGCGGCUUAUCAGCUUGUUGGUGGGGUAGUGGCUUACCAAGGCUUUGACGGGUAGCCGGCCUGAGAGGGUGACCGGCCACAUGGGGACUGAGGUACGGCCCAGACUCCUACGGGAGGCAGCAGUGGGGAAUAUUGCACAAUGGGCGGAAGCCUGAUGCAGCAACGCCGCGUGCGGGAUGACGGCCUUCGGGUUGUAAACCGCUUUCGCCUGUGACGAAGCGGGAGUGACGGUAAUGGGUAAAGAAGCACCGGCUAACUACGUG
Molecule: ribosomal RNA, 468 nt
Filed under: uncultured bacterium
Lineage: Bacteria
Description: partial 16S ribosomal RNA
Rfam family: Bacterial small subunit ribosomal RNA
Source: RNAcentral